GCUGAACCAAACGUAAAAUUCGUCAUCCCCUCCCAAUUCCCAACCCGUUGUAUUUUCUGAGUCUAGGGUUUUUGUUUGGUUUAUCUAAGAGAGAGCAAUUCCUAAGUCACCGCUAAGUUAUGGCGAAACCAGACCGAGGCCGACCGGCUACACCGUCGGGCUCUGGUUCGGGCUCUUCAUCACGUUCCCGCUCUCGCUCUCCAUCUAGGUCAAGGUCUCGCUCGCGCUCCUACUCCGGCUCCGACUCUCGCUCUAGUUCCCGCUCUCGUUCUCUAUCUCGGUCGCGCUCCCGUUCCCGUUCUCUCUCUAAAUCCAUCUCUUCUUCGUCUUCUCCUUCUCGUAGCGGCAGUUCUCGUAGCCCUAGUCCACCUCCCCAGCGGAAAAGUCCGGGUGAAGGAGCUAGGCGUGGUCGAUCUCCACCUCCGCAGUCUAAGAAAGUUUCACCACCUCCAAGGAAAGCAUCUCCAGUCCCUGAGUCACUAACAAUUCAUGUUGAUCAGCUCACCAGGAAUGUCAAUGAAAGCCAUCUGAAAGAAAUAUUUGGUAAUUUUGGUGAAGUUGUGCAUGUGAGGCUGGUAAUAGACCAUGCGGUUAACAUUUCAAAAGGUUCUGGAUAUGUCGAAUUUAAGAACAGAACUGAUGCUGAGAAAGCUCAGUUGUACAUGGAUGGAGCCCAGAUUGAUGGGAAAGUUGUUCAUGCCAAAUUCACUUUACCUGAGAGGAAGAAGGUUUCCCCUCCCAAGGCUGUUGCUUCGACAUCUAGAAGAGAUGCUUCUAAAGCUGAUAGUGCUGGGCGUGACUUGGACAAAGACGGGCUGAAGCGGCCAAGAGAAGCAUCCCCUCGUCGGAAACCCCCCUCGCCACCGAGGAGGAGGUCUCCAGCGAUGCGAAGAGGAUCUCCUAGACGUGAGCUUGAUUCUCCUCCUCGUCGACGUGCAGACUCUCCUGGUCGUCGUAGACCAGAUUCCCCUUAUCGACGAGUUGCUUCGCCUCCUCCUAGGAGACGCCUUGCAUCUCCUGCCAGAGGUCGUUCACCCUCCUCACCUCCCAGACGAUACCGUUCACCUCCGAGGGCUUCUCCCCGAAGGAUACGUGGUAGUCCUAUGCGAAGACGUUCUCCUCCUCCUCCUCCCAGAAGACGUUCCCCCCGUCGAGGUCGAACACCUCCUAGACGUUCACCAGUCGGUCGCAGACGCAGCCGUUCUCCUGCUCGUAGGCCUGUUCGUUCAGUUUCGAGAUCAUUGUCUCCAAGGAGAGGCCGUGCACCCCCUGUCAGACGUGCAAGAUCAUCAUCCUACUCAUCAUCUCCUAGUCCUCGCAAGGGGCCCAGGAGAGCAUCGAGGAGUCGCAGCCCAAGAAGCACAUCACCAUAGUGAAAGGAGAGGGACUAUAUUUAGUGUAGUUACUGGUCACCAAUAUUCAUGCCAUCACAGUAUAACUGUGGUAUCAGGCCUUUAAGGGGUAGAAGCUCAAGUAAUAGCAGUGGAACAAGUGGUUCGCCACCUCGUAAGCCCUGAAGUCUGCAGGGUUGUUUUCUUCGUCACUUCUACCAUGCUGUCUCAUCUUGUGAUGGUGUAAGGUUGCUCCAGAGUACGUGCAUGCUGAGGAGGAUGGUUGAACCUGCCCCUGUGGUAGCUUUAGGAGGUUUUCUUGUGGUUAAUAUUAUGAUCAUUGGGUGCGUGCAUUAGGCCACUCGUGGGCAGUGGUUGAGUGGAUUUUAUGUUUAAUUUUCAUCACUUUUGACAGCUAAGAGGAAAAUAUGUGUAUGCAUUUCUAUGCGAACUAAAAGCAUUUUUCUUGCACCGUCUCGGUACAGCAAUUAAUUUUCAUCCGUGGUAAUGUUCUCA
Molecule: RNA transcript, 1847 nt
Organism: Coffea arabica (coffee)
Lineage: Eukaryota; Viridiplantae; Streptophyta; Magnoliopsida; Gentianales; Rubiaceae
Source: RefSeq, a predicted model, not a curated record